This 73-nucleotide transfer RNA is filed under the name Mustela putorius furo (domestic ferret). It matches the Rfam family "tRNA". From Rfam's summary of the family: Transfer RNA (tRNA) molecules are approximately 80 nucleotides in length. Their secondary structure includes four short double-helical elements and three loops (D, anti-codon, and T loops). The record is from Rfam by way of RNAcentral. Lineage: Eukaryota; Metazoa; Chordata; Mammalia; Carnivora; Mustelidae.
ACCUGGCUGGCUCAGUCGGCAGUGCAUAUGGCUCUUGAUCUUGGGGUCAUGAGUUCGAGCCCCAUGUUAGGUG